RNAcentral lists this ribosomal RNA (837 nucleotides) under uncultured Pseudomonadota bacterium. RNAcentral's name for it is "bacterial SSU rRNA". It matches the Rfam family "Bacterial small subunit ribosomal RNA", at positions 27 to 857 of the family's 1533-position model. The record is from RNAcentral. Lineage: Bacteria; Pseudomonadati; Pseudomonadota.
GAUUGAACGCUGGCGGCGUGCUUAACACAUGCAAGUCGAGCGGUAGCAGGCGUAGCAAUACGUGCUGACGAGCGGCGAACGGGUGAGUAAUGCUUCGGAAUCUUCCUCGUAGUGGGGAACAACCUGGGGAAACUCAGGCUAAUACCGCAUACGAACUACGGUUGAAAGCAGGGGAUCGCAAGACCUUGCGCUGUGAGAUGAGCCGAAGUCGGAUUAGCUAGUUGGUGGGGUAAAGGCCUACCAAGGCGACGAUCCGUAGCUGGUCUGAGAGGACGACCAGCCACACUGGGACUGAGACACGGCCCAGACUCCUACGGGAGGCAGCAGUGGGGAAUAUUGGACAAUGGGGGCAACCCUGAUCCAGCGACGCCGCGUGUGUGAAGAAGGCCUGCGGGUUGUAAAGCACUUUUAGUGGGGAUGAAAAGCCAAGGGCUAAUACCCUUUGGUCUUGACCUAACCCAAAGAAAAAGCACCGGCUAACUCUGUGCCAGCAGCCGCGGUAAUACAGAGGGUGCAAGCGUUAAUCGGAAUUACUGGGCGUAAAGCGUGCGUAGUCGGUUAUCUAAGUCGGAUGUGAAAUCCCCGGGCUCAACCUGGGAAUUGCAUUCGAUACUGGAUAGCUAGAGUUCGGCAGAGGGAAGUGGAAUUUCAGGUGUAGCGGUGAAAUGCGUAGAUAUCUGAAGGAACAUCAGUGGCGAAAGCGACUUCCUGGACCAGAACUGACGAUCAGGCACGAAAGCGUGGGGAGCAAACAGGAUUAGAUACCCUGGUAGUCCACGCCAUAAACGAUGACAACUAGACGUUGGGAACAUUUGGUUCACAGUGUCGCAGCUAACG